This 469-nucleotide ribosomal RNA is filed under the name uncultured bacterium. RNAcentral's name for it is "bacterial SSU rRNA". It matches the Rfam family "Bacterial small subunit ribosomal RNA", at positions 36 to 518 of the family's 1533-position model. The record is from RNAcentral.
CUGGCGGCGUGCCUAACACAUGCAAGUCGAACGGACGAAGGGAGCUUGCUCCCUGAGUUAGUGGCGAACGGGUGAGUAACGCGUGAGCAACCUGCCUUUCAGAGGGGGACAACGGUUGGAAACGACCGCUAAUACCGCAUGAAACAGUCGGACCGCAUAAUCUGACUGUCAAAGAUUUAUCGCUGAAAGAUGGGCUCGCGUCUGAUUAGAUAGUUGGUGGGGUAACGGCCUACCAAGUCGACGAUCAGUAGCCGGACUGAGAGGUUGAACGGCCACAUUGGGACUGAGAUACGGCCCAGACUCCUACGGGAGGCAGCAGUGGGGAAUAUUGGGCAAAUGGGGGGAACCCUGACCCAGCAACGCCGCGUGAAGGAAGAAGGCUUUCGGGUUGUAAACUUCUUUUACCGAGGACGAAGAACGUGACGGUACUCGGAGAAAAAGCCACGGCUAACUACGUGCCAGCAGCGGC